AUGCAGGUGUAUAGUAUUAUAUUAUAUUAUAAUAUUCCCAAGCGGAAAUGUAUUGUAUAUGUGUGUAUGCAGGUGUAUUAUAUUGUAUUAUAUUAUAUUAUAGAAGAACACAGUGAAAAUGUAAAAGAGAGAGGGAAACUGACCUGGUGUUUCUCUGCAAAGGCAAGCAAACCAAGAGGGGAAUGUAUUGUAUAUGUGUGUAUACACGUGUAUAUUGUAUUGUAUUAUAUAACAAUAUAUUAUUAAAUUAUUAUAUUAUAUUGGAGAAGAACACAGUGAAAAUGUAAAAGGAUAGAAACUGACCUGGUGUUUCUCUGCAAAGGCAGGGCAAACCAAGAGGGGAAUGUAUUGUAUAUGUGUAUGCAGGUGUAUAUUAUAUUAUAUUAUAUGUAUGAUGAUGAUGAUUAUUAUUAUAUUAUAAUACUUAUUGUAUACUUUACAAGCACACACACACACAAGGCCUAGAUAUAUUUGAUUUUGGGCCCUUUUCACUCUAAAUCGCUCAUAAUCGUGUUGCUCCCUCCAGAAGAGACUGACAAGGAGGCUAACUUAAUAUGACGAGCUUCUGUUUCUGCUAAAACUACAGGCUGCGAGUCUAUUGCAGCUGCGAGGGCAACCCAGGCAGGCCCACGUGGAUCCAACCAGUGGCUUCCAUUUAUUUAUUUGGUUAUUUAUUUAUUGAUAAUUGGGUCUGCCAAACGCAAACGAGCUACAGUUUGCUCCAGCCCACCAGAAAAGGGAGAGUGGGAAUUGAAGGAAAAAAAACACAUUAAGUAGAUUACCCCCUGAUUACGACAUGAAUUGGCAACGUAAAGCACGCCAAGCUCCCCCUUUUUUUUUGCUCCUCUCGGCGGAAUAUUGAUAGGGUCUAUAUAAUUCUUCAUAUUAUGUGAUAGCAAUAUUCUCUGUCUCUUUGGCGGGCAGACGGAGAGGGAAAAGGGGGGAGCGCUUUCCUCGGAACAGCCGGGUCUUGAGAGGCACAGCGCCAUCUAGCCAACAAACUGGGAAUCAAAGGCGAGGAGGGAGAGAGGGAGAGAGAGAAAGAAAGAAGGACUAUAUGCAAGAAAAGAAAGAGAGAGAGAGAGGGUUGCUGUGAGUUUUCCGGGAAUUUAUGGAAAUGUUCAAGAAGCAUUAUUUCCUGACGUUUCUCCUGUAUCUAGGGCAGGCAUCCUUAGAGGUUGUUGGAAAUUGGAAACUAGCCAAUUGGGUUUUAUAUAUCUGUGCAAUGUUCAGGGUGGGAGAAAGAACUCUUGUCUGUUUGAGGCAAGUGUGAAAGUUGCAACUGGCCACCUUGAUUAGUAUUGAAUAGCCUUUCAGCUUCAAGGCCUGGCUGCUUACUACCUAGAGGAAUCCUUUGUUGGGAGGUGUUAGCUGGUCCUGAUUUAUUCAAGUCUGGAAUUCCCCUGUUUUCUCAGUGUUGUUAUUUAUUUAAUGUCCUGAUUUUAGAGUUUUUUUAAUACUGGUAGCCAGAUUUUGUUCAUUUUCAUUGUUCCCUCCUUUCUGCUUAAAUUGUCCACAUGCUUGUGGAUUUCAAUAGCUUCUCUGUGUAGUCUGAUAUGAUCGUUGUUAGAGUGGCUCAGCAUUUCUCAAUAUACUGUGUCCAGGUUGGUUCUUCAAGUGCUCAGAAAACAGAGGAAUUCCAGACAGGAAUCAAUUAGGGCCAGCUAACACCUCCCAACAAAGGAUUCACCUGGGCAGGAAUCAGCCAGACCUUGAAGCUGCAAGCCUAUUCAAUGCUAACCGAGGUGAUUAAUUGCAUCAUUCACAUCAUCCAACAAGCAAGAGUUUUUUCUCCCACCCUGGACCUUUCACAGAUAUAUAAUCCUCCCUUGCCUAGUUUACAAUAUACUUCACAAUAUACCUUUGAGGAUGCCUGCCAUAGAUGCCUCCAAUAGACAAGAGUUUUUUCUUCCACCCAGAUAUAUAAACCGCAAC
RNAcentral lists this long non-coding RNA (1935 nucleotides) under Anolis carolinensis (green anole). RNAcentral describes it as "lncRNA (ENSACAG00000034708.1)". Lineage: Eukaryota; Metazoa; Chordata; Lepidosauria; Squamata; Anolidae. The record is from RNAcentral.